Ochotona curzoniae (black-lipped pika) is the source of this 660-nucleotide long non-coding RNA. RefSeq lists it as uncharacterized. The transcript is spliced from 2 exons. Lineage: Eukaryota; Metazoa; Chordata; Mammalia; Lagomorpha; Ochotonidae. The record is from RefSeq and is a predicted model, not a curated record.
UCUAAACCAGAAGAAGAAUUUGGUAAAAACUGGACAUUGAUUGUGGAAUAUUUAGCUGCAUCUCGGUUUCCUACAACCAUGAUUAGAGUGCAUGAAGCCCAGAAAGGCCUGCCACCACGAAUCCUUCUUGAUACUGAUGUGGCCCCAUUUAUCAGUGACUUUACGUCUCUUCAGAACACAUUGCUGUCAGGUGUAAAUAUUGUUUCCAGUACACAUAAACUGACAGGUUCAUCAUCUUUGACUCUAUGGAAAUUGUUAAUGAAUACGCAACUUGCAAGGAGAGUCUUUGUAGAGAUAGUUGAUAGAUUUCUUUUCAUUGUAAAUUAAAAGUUCUGAAGAUCAUCAACAGAUUAAAAAUGAAUGUAUCUAAAUUUUUCAGAACUAAUAAUGUCAAAAAUUCAGGUUAAAAUUAAAAUCAGUACAAUGAUCAUUUUUCCAAUUACAUAGUUAUAAUUUUUGAAAUAAUCUAUUCUGAAGAUAUUUAAGAUCAAAAUAAAUUGUAUUUUUCUCCCCCCCAAAAAAGAUAACUGAGAAGUUUAGUAUCAGAAUUCUACAUAUAUGUCUCUGAAGUUGUUAUCCUAUGAAAUCUAAUGUCAUAAAAUUUAGAGCACUAUAACUUAUUGAUUUAUAAUUAAAAACCAGAGCAUGUUGAAAAAAAAA